CGUGUAGGCGGGACUUUAAGUCAGAUGUGAAAUACCCGGGCUUAACUCGGGAGGUGCAUUUGAAACUGAGGUUCUUGAGUGGUGGAGAGGAAAGCGGAAUUCCUAGUGUAGCGGUGAAAUGCGUAGAUAUUAGGAGGAACACCAGUGGCGAAGGCGGCUUUCUGGACACUAACUGACGCUGAGGCGCGAAAGCGUGGGGAGCAAACA
This 207-nucleotide ribosomal RNA is filed under the name uncultured Bacillota bacterium. RNAcentral's name for it is "uncultured Firmicutes bacterium partial 16S ribosomal RNA". It matches the Rfam family "Bacterial small subunit ribosomal RNA", at positions 568 to 774 of the family's 1533-position model. The record is from RNAcentral. Lineage: Bacteria; Bacillati; Bacillota.